Molecule: ribosomal RNA, 503 nt
Filed under: uncultured bacterium
Lineage: Bacteria
Description: partial 16S ribosomal RNA
Rfam family: Bacterial small subunit ribosomal RNA
Source: RNAcentral
AUUGAACGCUGGCGGCAGGCUUAACACAUGCAAGUCGAGCGGGGUGAUGGUGCUUGCACUAUCACUUAGCGGCGGACGGGUGAGUAAUGCUUAGGAAUCUGCCUAUUAGUGGGGGACAACAUCUCGAAAGGGAUGCUAAUACCGCAUACGUCCUACGGGAGAAAGCAGGGGAUCACUUGUGACCUUGCGCUAAUAGAUGAGCCUAAGUCGGAUUAGCUAGUUGGUGGGGUAAAGGCCUACCAAGGCGACGAUCUGUAGCGGGUCUGAGAGGAUGAUCCGCCACACUGGGACUGAAACACGGCCCAGAGUCCUACGGGAGGAAGCAGUGGGGAAUAUUGGAGAAUGGGGGGAACCCUGAUCCAGCCAUGCCGCGUGUGUGAAGAAGGCCUUAUGGUUGUAAAGCACUUUAAGCGAGGAGGAGGCUCUUUUGGUUAAUACCCAAGAUGAGUGGACGUUACUCGCAGAAUAAGCACCGGCUAACUCUGUGCCAGCAGCCGCAGUAA